AAUAGAUACCCUGGUAGUCCACGCCGUAAACGAUGAGUGCUAAGUGUUAGAGGGUUUCCGCCCUUUAGUGCUGCAGCUAACGCAUUAAGCACUCCGCCUGGGGAGUACGGCCGCAAGGCUGAAACUCAAAGGAAUUGACGGGGGCCCGCACAAGCGGUGGAGCAUGUGGUUUAAUUCGAAGCAACGCGAAGAACCUUACCAGGUCUUGACAUCCUCUGACAACCCUAGAGAUAGGGCUUUCCCCUUCGGGGGACAGAGUGACAGGUGGUGCAUGGUUGUCGUCAGCUCGUGUCGUGAGAUGUUGGGUUAAGUCCCGCAACGAGCGCAACCCUUGAUCUUAGUUGCCAGCAUUCAGUUGGGCACUCUAAGGUGACUGCCGGUGACAAACCGGAGGAAGGUGGGGAUGACGUCAAAUCAUCAUGCCCCUUAUGACCUGGGCUACACACGUGCUACAAUGGAUGGUACAAAGGGCUGCAAACCUGCGAAGGUAAGCGAAUCCAUAAAGCCAUUCUCAGUUCGGAUUGC
This 525-nucleotide ribosomal RNA is filed under the name uncultured bacterium. Its description in RNAcentral is "bacterial SSU rRNA". It matches the Rfam family "Bacterial small subunit ribosomal RNA", at positions 777 to 1301 of the family's 1533-position model. The record is from RNAcentral.